Molecule: ribosomal RNA, 550 nt
Filed under: Vermamoeba vermiformis
Lineage: Eukaryota; Tubulinea; Echinamoebida; Vermamoebidae
Description: SSU rRNA
Rfam family: Eukaryotic small subunit ribosomal RNA
Source: RNAcentral
ACUGGCCUCCUAUGUUCCUAACGGUCCUCAUCCGCGAGGGUGGGGAAUCAACCGCUAGGAUCGUUUACUUUGAGGAAAUUAGAGUGUUCAAAGCAGGCGUAACUCGCCUCCGAAUACGUUAGCAUGGGAUAAUGGAAUACGACUUCGGUCUUGUUUCGUUGGUUUCGCUUGGCUGAAGUAAUGAUUGAUAGGGACAGUUGGGGGCAUUAGUAUUUAGUUGUCAGAGGUGAAAUUCUAGGAUUUACUAAAGACUGACCAAUGCGAAAGCAUUUGCCAAGGAUGUUUUCAUUAAUCAAGAACGAAAGUAGGGGGAUCGAAGACGAUCAGAUACCGUCGUAGUCUCUACCGUAAACUAUGCCGACCAGGGAUCCGGAGAGUUUGCAUGGAUGACUCCCCGGGCACCUUGUGAGAAAUCAUAAGUGUUUGGGUUUUGGGGGGAGUAUGGUCGCAAGGCUGAAACUUAAAGGAAUUGACGGAAGGGCACCACCAGGAGUGGAACCUGCGGCUUAAUUUGACUCAACACGGGGAAACUUACGAGGUCAGGACACUG